Molecule: ribosomal RNA, 301 nt
Filed under: uncultured bacterium
Lineage: Bacteria
Description: partial 16S ribosomal RNA
Rfam family: Bacterial small subunit ribosomal RNA
Source: RNAcentral
CAGUCGCCGCGGUAAUACAGAGGGUGCGAGCGUUAAUCGGAUUUACUGGGCGUAAAGCGUGCGUAGGCGGCUUUUUAAGUCGGAUGUGAAAUCCCUGAGCUUAACUUAGGAAUUGCAUUCGAUACUGGGAAGCUAGAGUAUGGGAGAGGAUGGUAGAAUUCCAGGUGUAGCGGUGAAAUGCGUAGAGAUCUGGAGGAAUACCGAUGGCGAAGGCAGCCAUUUGGCCUAAUACUGACGCUGAGGUACGAAAGCAUGGGGAGCAAACAGGAUUAGAUACCCCCGUAGUCCCUGUCUCUUAUAC